GACGUAGGGUGCGAGUGUUGUCCGGAUUUAUUGGGCGUAAAGAGCUCGUAGGCGGCUUGUCGCGUCGACCGUGAAAACUUGGGGCUCAACCCCAAGCCUGCGGUCGAUACGGGCAGGCUAGAGUUCGGUAGGGGAGACUGGAAUUCCUGGUGUAGCGGUGAAAUGCGCAGAUAUCAGGAGGAACACCGGUGGCGAAGGCGGCAUCCUGGACCGAGAUCGACGCUGAGGCGCGAAAGCUAGGGGAGCAAACGGG
This 253-nucleotide ribosomal RNA is filed under the name uncultured bacterium. Its description in RNAcentral is "partial 16S ribosomal RNA". It matches the Rfam family "Bacterial small subunit ribosomal RNA", at positions 524 to 776 of the family's 1533-position model. The record is from RNAcentral.